Ribosomal RNA from Danio rerio (zebrafish), 123 nucleotides. The record is from Ensembl. Lineage: Eukaryota; Metazoa; Chordata; Actinopteri; Cypriniformes; Danionidae.
UGCAGCAGCCAUGAAAGCCAUGCUCUCUGCAACUCACAUGGUCGCUCACUGAAGCUAAGCAGGGCUGCGCCCGGUCAGUGACUGGAUGGGAGACCACAUGGGAACACUAGGUUGCUGCCGGAA